Molecule: ribosomal RNA, 442 nt
Filed under: uncultured bacterium
Lineage: Bacteria
Description: partial 16S ribosomal RNA
Rfam family: Bacterial small subunit ribosomal RNA
Source: RNAcentral
CCUACGGGAGGCAGCAGUGGGGAAUCUUGGGCAAUGGGCGCAAGCCUGACCCAGCAACGCCGCGUGAAGGAAGAAGGCUUUCGGGUUGUAAACUUCUUUUCUGGGGGACGAACAAAUGACGGUACCCCAGGAAUAAGCCACGUCUAACUACGUGCCAGCAGCCGCGUUAAUCCGUAGGUGGCAAGCGUUAUCCUGAUUUAUUGGGUGUAAAGGGCGUGUAGGCGGGAAUGCAAGUCAGAUGUGAAAACUCAGGGCUCAACCCUGAGACUGCAUUUGAAACUGUGUUUCUUGAGUGCUGGAGAGGCAAUCGGAAUUCCGUGUGUAGCGGUGAAAUGCGUAGAUAUACGGAGGAACACCAGUGGCGAAGGCGGAUUGCUGGACAGUAACUGACGCUGAGGCGCGAAAGCGUGGGGAGCAAACAGGAUUAGAUACCCCAGUAGUC